Molecule: non-coding RNA, 89 nt
Organism: Pyronema omphalodes CBS 100304
Lineage: Eukaryota; Fungi; Ascomycota; Pezizomycetes; Pezizales; Pyronemataceae
Source: Rfam
GGUGUCGUGGCGCAAUGGUAGCGCGUUGGCUUCCGGUGUCCCAAAAGCAAGAUUGCCAAAGGCUGCAGGUUCGAGUCCUGCCGAUAUCG